GACCUUUGAAUCUAAUUGAAGGAAAACAAACAAACAACAGCCAUGGCAUCUCGUUUUUGGGGACAGGUACUGAGUUGCUGACUCCAAUUCUUUGUUGCAUCCUUAUACGGUAGUAACUAAUAUGUAUAAAUUUCGUCCUCGUCAAAUGCAUUAAUACCUUUGUCUUUGUUCUGUUCCACCCAAUAUCAGGGAGACAGUGACUCCGAGGAGGAGGUGGAUGAGAUUGAGUCAGAACAAGGGAGCGAUAGUGAAAAAUCAGAAGCUUGGAAGUGGGUAAUAUCAAAUCAGUGCCGAGAAAAUGGUUGUAGUGGAGAAGAAGGAUGGCAUGAUGUUAUCUGAAACUUGGAAAAGUGUGGUGCAGAUAAGAGUUGGUGUGCAUGCUGUGCUCGGCUACUUUUCCUUGUGGGUACCAUACGACAAUUCGUAUGUGGUCUGCUACUGAUGUUACAUGAUGUAUUCGUAGAUGAAACUGACCUGAUGGGGCUGUUACAGUUUGUGAUGGGAGACAUGGUUACGGAACUGGACGAGGCAGAAGUAAGAGAUGCAGAGAACGCCACGGAACAGAGGGAGGCAUGCAAUGUAGCUGACGGCGAAGGUCCCCCUGCACCAAAGUUGCCUAGUGGAAAGGUAUCACUUGAACAUGUAUCUGUUUGUUGUUUGGGUGCAUUCGUCAGUUCAAAAUACCACUGGCUUACCCGUGCGAUGGCUAGUUCGCAGGAUGUUAAAUGCCAUGGUUACUUGUGUUGUAGACAGUUUUUUUAGGUAAGGGCUUUUUGGGCUACAGGAAUUUAAAUGCAUUUCGUACAUAUCUUAAGUAAAUAGUUCAGGAAUAGUAC
Molecule: long non-coding RNA, 836 nt
Filed under: Hordeum vulgare
Lineage: Eukaryota; Viridiplantae; Streptophyta; Magnoliopsida; Poales; Poaceae
Description: long non-coding RNA (HVUL_LNC020318)
Source: RNAcentral